GUAAACGAUGUCUACUAGCUGUAGGGGUACUUGAGACCUUUGUAGCGCAGCUAACGCACUAAGUAGACCGCCUGGGGAGUACGGCCGCAAGGUUAAAACUCAAAUGAAUUGACGGGGGCCCGCACAAGCAGUGGAGCAUGUGGUUUAAUUCGAUGCAACGCGAAGAACCUUACCAGGCCUUGACAUCCUCGGAACUUUCUAGAGAUAGAUUGGUGCCUUCGGGAACCGAGUGACAGGUGCUGCAUGGCUGUCGUCAGCUCGUGUCGUGAGAUGUUGGGUUAAGUCCCGUAACGAGCGCAACCCUUGUCCUUAGUUGCCAGCACAUAAUGGUGGGAACUCUAAGGAGACUGCCGGUGACAAACCGGAGGAAGGUGGGGACGACGUCAAGUCAUCAUGGCCCUUACGGCCUGGGCUACACACGUGCUACAAUGGCUAGGACAGACGGCCGCAAACCCGCGAGGGGGAGCCAAUCCGACAAACCUAGUCGUAGUCCGGAUCGGAGUCUGCAACUCGACUCCGUGAAGUCGGAAUUGCUAGUAAUCGCGAAUCAGAAUGUCGCGGUGAAUACGUUCCCGGGCCUUGUACACACCGCCCGUCACACCAUGGGAGUGGGUUGCUCCAGAAGUGGUUAGUCUAACCUUCGGGGGGACGAUCACCACGGAGUGAUUCAUGGCUGGGGUGAAGUCGUAACAAGGUAGCCCUAGGGGAACCUGCGGCUGGAUCACCUCCUUAGAGUUUGAUCAUGGCUCAGUGCGGUUGGAUAACCUCCUU
Molecule: non-coding RNA, 771 nt
Filed under: uncultured bacterium
Lineage: Bacteria
Also listed under: 1 other name
Description: bacterial SSU rRNA
Rfam family: Bacterial small subunit ribosomal RNA
Source: RNAcentral